Molecule: ribosomal RNA, 801 nt
Filed under: uncultured bacterium
Lineage: Bacteria
Description: bacterial SSU rRNA
Rfam family: Bacterial small subunit ribosomal RNA
Source: RNAcentral
UUGAGCGGAGAUAUAUGGAGCUUGCUUUAUAUAACUUAGCAGCGAACGGGUGAGUAACACGUAGAUAAUCUAUCCUAUACUGGGGGAUAGCCCGAUGAAAGUUGGAUUAAUACCGCAUAUAGCUAUAUAGUUGCAUGAUUAUGUAGUGAAAGAUUUAUUGGUAUAGGAGGAGUCUGCGGCACAUUAGCUAGUAGGUGAGGUAAAGGCUUACCUAGGCGACGAUGUGUAGCCGGUCUGAGAGGAUGAACGGCCACAAUGGAACUGAGACACGGUCCAUACUCCUACGGGAGGCAGCAGUGGGGAAUAUUGCACAAUGGGGGAAACCCUGAUGCAGCAACGCCGCGUGAGUGAAGAAGGUUUUCGGAUUGUAAAGCUCUGUUAGCAGGGAAGAGGAAGGACGGUUCCUGCAGAGGAAGCCACGGCUAACUACGUGCCAGCAGCCGCGGUAAUACGUAGGUGGCAAGCGUUGUUCGGAAUAACUGGGCGUAAAGGACGCGUAGGCGGUUAAACAAGUUAUAUGUUAAAUAUAUAGGCUUAACCUGUAGAAAGCAUAUAAAACUGUUUAACUAGAGUGCAGGAGAGGUAAGUGGAAUUCCUAGUGUAGCGGUGAAAUGCGUAGAGAUUAGGAAGAACACCAGUGGCGAAGGCGACUUACUGGACUGUAACUGACGCUGAGGCAUGAGAGCAUGGGGAGCAAACAGGAUUAGAUACCCUGGUAGUCCAUGCUGUAAACGAUGGGUACUAGGUGUGGGUUGUGAAUAACAAUUCGUGCCGUCGCAAACGCAAUAAGUACCCCGCCUG